RNAcentral lists this ribosomal RNA (337 nucleotides) under Cylindrospermopsis raciborskii C03. RNAcentral's name for it is "bacterial LSU rRNA". It matches the Rfam family "Bacterial large subunit ribosomal RNA", at positions 525 to 864 of the family's 2925-position model. The record is from RNAcentral. Lineage: Bacteria; Bacillati; Cyanobacteriota; Cyanophyceae; Nostocales; Aphanizomenonaceae.
CCCGGGAGGGGAGUGAAAAAGAACAUGAAACCGUGAGCUUACAAGCAGUGGGAGUCCGAUUAAACGGAUGACCGCGUGCCUGUUGAAGAAUGAGCCGGCGACUUAUAGGUACUGGUAGGUUAAAGCGGGAAUGCUGGAGCCAAAGGGAAACCGAGUCUGAAAAGGGCGCUAAUCAGUAUUUAUAGACCCGAACCCUGGUGAUCUAACCAUGGCCAGGAUGAAGCUUGGGUAAAACCAAGUGGAGGUCCGAACCGACCGAUGUUGAAAAAUCGGCGGAUGAGCGGUGGUUAGGGGUGAAAUGCCAAUCGAACCAGGAGCUAGCUGGUUCUCCCCGAAA